RNAcentral lists this ribosomal RNA (592 nucleotides) under Bacillus sp. RZ1MS16. RNAcentral's name for it is "bacterial SSU rRNA". It matches the Rfam family "Bacterial small subunit ribosomal RNA", at positions 57 to 631 of the family's 1533-position model. The record is from RNAcentral. Lineage: Bacteria; Bacillati; Bacillota; Bacilli; Caryophanales; Bacillaceae.
GCAGUCGAGCGAUGGAUUAAGAGCUUGCUCUUAUGAAGUUAGCGGCGGACGGGUGAGUAACACGUGGGUAACCUGCCCAUAAGACUGGGAUAACUCCGGGAAACCGGGGCUAAUACCGGAUAACAUUUUGAACYGCAUGGUKCGAAAUUGAAAGGCGGCUUCGGCUGUCACUUAUGGAUGGACCCGCGUCGCAUUAGCUAGUUGGUGAGGUAACGGCUCACCAAGGCAACGAUGCGUAGCCGACCUGAGAGGGUGAUCGGCCACACUGGGACUGAGACACGGCCCAGACUCCUACGGGAGGCAGCAGUAGGGAAUCUUCCGCAAUGGACGAAAGUCUGACGGAGCAACGCCGCGUGAGUGAUGAAGGCUUUCGGGUCGUAAAACUCUGUUGUUAGGGAAGAACAAGUGCUAGUUGAAUAAGCUGGCACCUUGACGGUACCUAACCAGAAAGCCACGGCUAACUACGUGCCAGCAGCCGCGGUAAUACGUAGGUGGCAAGCGUUAUCCGGAAUUAUUGGGCGUAAAGCGCGCGCAGGUGGUUUCUUAAGUCUGAUGUGAAAGCCCACGGCUCAACCGUGGAGGGUCAUUGGAA